GACGAACGCUGGCGGCGUGCCUAAUACAUGCAAGUAGAACGCUGAAGAGAGGAGCUUCCUCUUCUUGGAUGAGUUGCGAACGGGUGAGUAACGCGUAGGUAACCUGCCUUGUAGCGGGGGAUAACUAUUGGAAACGAUAGCUAAUACCGCAUAACAAUGGAUGACACAUGUCAUUUUUUUGAAAGGGGCAAUUGCUCCACUACAAGAGGGACCUACGUUGUAUUAGCUAUUAGGGGGGGUAAGGGCCCCCCAGGGGCAGGAACCAAACCCGCCCUGGAGGGGGGACGGCCACACUUGGAAUGGGACCACGCCCAGACUCCCUCGGGGGGCAGCAGUAGGGGAUCUUCGGCAAUGGGGGGAACCCCUAACGGGCAAAGCCGCGUGGGGGGAGAAGGUUUUCGGAUCGUAAAGCUCUGUUGUAAGUCAAGAACGGGUGUGAGAGUGGAAAGUUCACACUGUGACGGUAGCUUACCAGAAAGGGACGGCUAACUACGUG
RNAcentral lists this ribosomal RNA (496 nucleotides) under uncultured bacterium. RNAcentral describes it as "partial 16S ribosomal RNA". It matches the Rfam family "Bacterial small subunit ribosomal RNA", at positions 28 to 507 of the family's 1533-position model. The record is from RNAcentral.